Molecule: non-coding RNA, 366 nt
Organism: Oryctolagus cuniculus (rabbit)
Lineage: Eukaryota; Metazoa; Chordata; Mammalia; Lagomorpha; Leporidae
Source: RefSeq, a predicted model, not a curated record
CCAGUAACUCAGUCUGGGUCUCCCAGGAAGGUGGUAGCCAGGGCGGGCUGGGUCUGAAGUCGGGAGCCAGUAACUCCGUCUGGGUCUCCCAGGAAGGUGGUAGCCAGGGCGGGCUGGGUCUGAAGUCGGGAGCCAGUAACUCAGUCUGGGUCUCCCAGGAAGGUGGUAGCCAGGGCGGGCUGGGUCUGAAGUCGGGAGCCAGUAACUCAGUCUGGGUCUCCCAGGAAGGUGGUAGCCAGGGCGGGCUGGGUCUGAAGUCGGGAGCCAGUAACUCCGUCUGGGUCUCCCAGGAAGGUGGUAGCCAGGGCGGGCUGGGUCUGAAGUCGGGAGCCAGUAACUCCGUCUGGGUCUCCCAGGAAGGUGGUA